AACAGCGCUAUGGGUCACAUGGACAGCGCUAUGGGGCACCUGGUGCCGUGGGGCACAGCGCUAUGGGGCACAAUGUUGGCACUGUGGGGUGGGUGCCGUGGGGCACGGUGCUAUGGGGCACGUGGACGGUACUGUGGGGUGUGGGGUGCCAUGCUGUGGGGUACACGGACAGCGCUAUGGGGCACAGCGCUGUGGGGCACACAGUGCUGUGAGGCGGGUGCUAUGGGGCGGCUGUUGUGGGGUGAGGGGUGCAACGGUGUGGGGCACAGCGCUGUGGGGCACAUGAAGCUGUGGGGCACGCGGUGCUACGGGGUGGAAGGAUGUUGUGGGGCACGGAGGUGACGCUGUGGGGCACAGGGGUGGCGCUGUGGGGCAGAAGGAUGGCGCUGUGGGGCACAGAGUGACACUGCUGUGGGCUACGGGGAUGGUGCUGUGGGGCACAAGGAAGGCGCUGUGGGGCACAGGGAUGGCGCUAUGGGGCACAGAGACAUUGAUAUGGGGCAGAAGGAUGGCGCUGUGGGGCACAGAGAGCUAUGGGGCAGGAGGAAGGCACUAUGGGGCACGGUGACGGCGCUAUGGGGCAGAAGGAACGUGCUAUGGGGCAGAGUGGCGGCGCUGUGGGGCAGAGUGGCGGCGCUGUGGGGCACGGUGACGUUCGGAGGUGACACGGGGGUGUCCCCCGGCGGCGUCACGUGACGUCAUCGCCCAGCGGUGUCCUCCGGCGGCGUCACGUGACGCCGUCACACGUUGGUGUCCCCCGGCGGUGUCACGUGACACGCUGUCACGCAGCGCUGUCCCCUCCCCCCCCCCAUCCCCGCAGUGCCUCCGGCGGCCAGCAGGGCGACCCGGGGGGGGGGGACAUCAGUGGGGACAUCCCUUGGUGACACCCAUUUGGGGACACCUUUGGGGACACCAGUUUGGAUGUCACCCCUUGGGGACAUCAGUGGGGACGCACUCGGGGACACCAUUUGGGGACACCAAUGGGGACAUCCCUUGGUGACACCCGUUUGGGGACACCCGUUUGGGGACAGCCGUUUGGGGACAUUGUUGUCAUCGGGGUCAGCAGUGCUGGUGGUGGCCUUGGGGAUGGCAGUGGGGACACUGGUGGUGGCACUGGGGACGUUGGGGGCAUCACUGGGGACAGCAGUGGGGGCAUCGGGGACAACACUGGGGACACUGGGGACAGCAGCGGGGACCGCAGUGCCGGUGGUGGUGGCCACUGAGUCACAGGGUGGAGCGGGGGGGCGACACGGGUGGGACCCCCAGUGCCUCCCAGUGCCUCCCAGUUUGCCCUCAGUUCCUCCCCAGUUCCCCCCCCAGCUCCCAGUUUCUUCCCAGUUCCCCCUUCCACCCCCCCCCAGCUCCCAGAGGGACACAGAGGGGACAUGGGGGGACACAGAGGGGACAUGGGGGGGACACGGGGGGGGACUUG
Molecule: long non-coding RNA, 1432 nt
Filed under: Phasianus colchicus (ring-necked pheasant)
Lineage: Eukaryota; Metazoa; Chordata; Aves; Galliformes; Phasianidae
Description: lncRNA (ENSPCLG00000014124.1)
Source: RNAcentral